Molecule: ribosomal RNA, 256 nt
Filed under: uncultured bacterium
Lineage: Bacteria
Description: partial 16S ribosomal RNA
Rfam family: Bacterial small subunit ribosomal RNA
Source: RNAcentral
GCAAGUCGAGGGGCAUCGGGAGGGAAGCUUGCUUUCCUUGCCGGCGACCGGCGCACGGGUGAGUAACACGUAUGCAACCUGCCCUCUUCAGGGGGACAACCUUCCGAAAGGGAGGCUAAUCCCGCGUAUAUCGGUUUCGGGCAUCCGUGCUCGAGGAAAGAUUCAUGGGAAGAGGAUGGGAAUGCGGCGCAUCAGCUUGACGGCGAGGUAACGGCCCACCGUGGCGACGAUGCGUAGGGGUUCUGAGAGGAAGGUC